RNAcentral lists this long non-coding RNA (208 nucleotides) under Elaeis guineensis (African oil palm). RNAcentral describes it as "long non-coding RNA (EGUI_LNC063084)". Lineage: Eukaryota; Viridiplantae; Streptophyta; Magnoliopsida; Arecales; Arecaceae. The record is from RNAcentral.
AUGUGGGGUUAAAGGGUUUAACCCUUUUUUUUUUCGCUGCAUGUUUUCUAAGUUUUGAAAUCAACACAUACUACCUACCCAAUUUUCUAACAACAUGUGUAUGAAUGAUAUCACAAUGAUAAUAACAUGAGUAAUUUGUUAUAAUAUUUUAUAAUUGUUAUAAAAAUGUAUGUUGUAUGGUUAUAGACUAUGGUACAUCCAUGUGAUG